CGAACACUAUCGUUUCCGAGUGCACCUACGAGAAUUGAACCACGCCUAUCCCCCUACUCUCGUUCGCGCGACCGGCCACCUCGUGCUGUUUUUACCGGCAAGGUAACCGAUGACGAGACAGAGAAAGAGAAUCGUGGUGGAUUCGCUCGGCGGAAGAGAAGAACGAGACAGAGAGGGAAGUCUCUUUUACUGGUUUCUCUACUCGGGCCUGCCCACGCGCCGAGGAUGCGUGCUUGCGCGCGCAAAAGCUCGUUGAUAAGGAACACGUUGCGUUGGAUGCUGAGAAUCCUAAGACUCGACGGGGAUCGAUGCCUUCCAGACGAUUUGCUCCUUCUUCUUUCCUUCUUCUUGCUGCGACGACUUCGGCGAAAAUUUGAACGCAUACAUUGAACUACCUUGACGGCGUGAAAGGAACGUUCUUGUGGCGGUACGAGCAUAGACACGCGAAGAUUCGUGUGGUAUCCUGCCGAAAAAGUGUGUAACUCGAUCCGGCAAAAAGAUUUUCCUCUACCACGUUGCUGCGAAGCGUAGCGUCGCAACUCCGUGGAACAUCCCUCUGUUUCUCUUCGUGGUUGAUCGCAGUGAAAAACACGUAGUGUGAAUGCGCACAGAAACGUUCGUCAGCUGAUUCAUUGACCUAAGGCAGCUACAUGAACUUGUGUAAAUAAUUAAAAUCGAACAAUCACAAAUCGAUAUGGAGAAGAAAUCACGUGUCAACUAGUUCACUAUUGUUCCCAAGGAACUCGAGUGUGAGGCGUUACACUUUGUCCAAGAACCGCUCCAGGCAGCAAGUGGUGUCGUUUCAACGAUCGCGCACGCGAUGUCGAGCGAUCAUUGUGUCUCGAACAAGAAGGAGGCACACUACCGAUAGAGAGACACGCAGCGAAACCCACGUCGCGUGUUAUCGUGGUAGAAAUAUCAUCGAUGAGAACGAGCGUCGUAAUUCGUCGCUAAUCACCACGUGCACACGGUGUGGGAGGCGGCACCGCAGGAGAAUGUCAGUGAAAGUCUAUCUCGGCGAUCGUUCCUACGAUGAUUGUCGUCCCACGUGUUCUCGCCGGCACGACAAUCGCUUCCUGAUGAAGCGAACGACCCAUUCGAUACCAACAAGAGAGAUUCCAAAGCCUCUAAGAGGAUACCCGAACAGUUGUUAUGCGUAGUCAACUCGGGAAUGGUAAUGGAACUUCCUAAACGUCGUUUAGCCGACAUUAUAUCGCAUUGCGAAAUAUGUCCCAUAAAUUUUAAAUUUAAAUAUCGAACGACUUUAGUUUCUUUGAUUUCUGUUUUGUUAUGUCAUCCUGAAAGUCUCCGUAGUUUUAAGCCAUUC
Bombus pyrosoma is the source of this 1327-nucleotide long non-coding RNA. RefSeq lists it as uncharacterized. The record is from RefSeq and is a predicted model, not a curated record. The transcript is spliced from 5 exons. NCBI's taxonomy places the organism in Eukaryota, Metazoa, Arthropoda, Insecta, Hymenoptera, Apidae.